Long non-coding RNA from Solanum tuberosum (potato), 409 nucleotides. RefSeq lists it as uncharacterized. Lineage: Eukaryota; Viridiplantae; Streptophyta; Magnoliopsida; Solanales; Solanaceae. The transcript is spliced from 3 exons. The record is from RefSeq and is a predicted model, not a curated record.
UCCACUUCGUUGCGAUAAUUGUUCGCUCCUGUGUUUCACUUUUCUCUCAGUGUGUGAUAGUUCAACAUGGCGGAAAGAUAUACCAUCAAUAUGAUCACUCCCGAUACUAAAGAUUGGACCUUUAAAUUCCAAGUUGUUGAUAAAAGUCGACCAAGGGACAACAAAAAUAAAAUCACAAAAUACCAAGUCUUAGUUCUGCAAGAUGAAGAGGAGAAUCAAGUUCAAGCCACUAUUUUUAGUACCGAUAUAACAUAUUUUGAAAAAGAAUUUGCUCCUUUCAGGACUUACUUGGUAUCUGUUGCACAUGUGAAAUUACCACCUCUUGGAUACGAAAAUCCACUUAACAAAUUCAUUUGGACACUCGAUAAAAACACCAUUGUUGAACCAGUUGAAGAGGUCAAACCUCCCG